RNAcentral lists this ribosomal RNA (404 nucleotides) under uncultured bacterium. RNAcentral describes it as "bacterial SSU rRNA". It matches the Rfam family "Bacterial small subunit ribosomal RNA", at positions 355 to 775 of the family's 1533-position model. The record is from RNAcentral.
UAGGGAAUAUUGCUCAAUGGGCGCAAGCCUGAAGCAGCAACGCCGCGUGGAGGAUGAAGGUUUUAGGAUUGUAAACUCCUUUUGUGAGAGAAGAUAAUGACGGUAUCUCACGAAUAAGCACCGGCUAACUCCGUGCCAGCAGCCGCGGUAAUACGGAGGGUGCAAGCGUUACUCGGAAUCACUGGGCGUAAAGAGUGCGUAGGCGGGGUUGUAAGUCAGGUGUGAAAUCCUAUGGCUUAACCAUAGAACUGCAUUUGAAACUACAACUCUGGAGUGUGGGAGAGGUAGGUGGAAUUCUUGGUGUAGGGGUAAAAUCCGUAGAGAUCAAGAGGAAUACUCAUUGCGAAGGCGACCUGCUGGAACAAUACUGACGCUGAUUGCACGAAAGCGUGGGGAGCAAACAG